AGGGCGGGGCCAGGCGGAACCCCCGCGCGCCCAAGAUCCCCUCCCGCGUGGGGGCCGCAGGCGGAAGCUGAGGCCGGAGGUCGCCCGGCUGGCGGGAGCGGGACCUCGAGUAAGACUCUGUAGGCGCCCCUUGGGGCUGGCGUGUGUUGCUCGGGGGCUUGAGGGUCAGGGUCAGCGUGCCCCAGCUUUCUGUGCCAGCUCUGCGCCCCGCGUCGGGUGUGCCUCCGCUAAAGGAGGUUUCCAUCCUGGCCCGGGCUGUUCUUUUCUUGCCCUGCCUCGCCUCCCUUUCCUGAGCAGACCUUCUGGGUUCCGUAAAAGUCGUGAGAGCAGACAGCCAUGGUCAUUAACCCCUCGCUGAAGGGGGGGCGGUGAUGAAGGUUGGAGACACCUGCAAGGGGUGCACCUCGCGCCCCUGCAUCCUCGCGGCUCCGUGAAGACAGUGCUCCCGGGGGCGGCGUCUCACCUGGAAGGUUCUCUGCAGACCAAGGGUUUGGGCAGUUACCCGCCUGGCGAGCCUGGCCUUGCUCGGGGAGAGGUGGCGGGCGCCCUGACCUCUCCCAGGUACUCGGCUCUGAAGAAAAACGGGACAGGAGAGACAACCAGACUGGGGAGACUGGUACCAUCGGUUCGCAGGGAAGAACACGCUGUCAUUCAAAAGUGUUCAAAACGGCAUCUCACUUAAUCCUCAGAAAUUAUUCAUCCAUUCAACAAAUGUCGGGUGAGUGUCUGCACUGUCCUGGAUGCAGUCUUCAGUAGGAGUGCAUCAGGGGACCCCCGGGUCGCGGCCCCUCACAGCUUAGACCCUGCCCAGGGACCUGAGUCAGGGGACGGAGUGAGGACGGUCUGUGCUCUGGAGGAUAGUCAGGUGGCAUCACGGCCAGCCCCUGUGUUUUGAAGGAGGGGGCCACCAUUCGGCUCACGGCAACCCCCACCCCUCUCCGGACCUCGGCUUCCAGCAGCCCGCGGUGGGGCGCGACCUGGUACCUACUGUCCCUGUUGACGUGGUGAUGGGUGCUGGGGGCGGGGCCGGGGUUCCAUCCUGGGGGAGCAGAAGGCGGUGCGUGCGGAAAACAGUGCUCCGUGGAGUGUUAGCGGUCCCUUGAGUGUGAGCAGCGUGAAACUCUCAAGAUUCUUCUUCCGGGGGUCUCGUUUUCCCUUCCCACCAGACCUGGCGUGGAAUACACUGUGCAAAACGUGCUCCUUCCACGCUUCUGAAACACCAAGUCGAUUUCUAGGGCUUGUUAGAUAUUGCAAACGUGGGUAAAAACACAGGCACAUUGUGGCUUGGCACCCAAGCCCGGCAGAGGUUUGGAGACGCCUCCUUCAGGAGGGGUUGAAGCCCUCCUUCCAGCUCAGGGUGCUGUCCCUGCCAGGCCCCAUCCCCAGCGGCUUGGAAAGUGGGGUUUGCAGAGGGGGUUGGGGGUCUGGUGUUGUUUCGUUCCAUUCCUGAUCCAAUCGUCCUCUCCCCCCACACACACCCGUGCUGUGUGUCCUUCCAACAAGUACU
This 1507-nucleotide long non-coding RNA is filed under the name Felis catus (domestic cat). RNAcentral describes it as "lncRNA (ENSFCAG00000043317.2)". The record is from RNAcentral. Lineage: Eukaryota; Metazoa; Chordata; Mammalia; Carnivora; Felidae.